This 217-nucleotide long non-coding RNA is filed under the name Lathyrus oleraceus (garden pea). RNAcentral's name for it is "Pisum sativum (pea) long non-coding RNA (PSAT_LNC006125)". The record is from RNAcentral. Lineage: Eukaryota; Viridiplantae; Streptophyta; Magnoliopsida; Fabales; Fabaceae.
AAACAUCUUCUAAACACCCAAACUCUGUCGUCACAUCCGUCGAUAUCCUCCGCCUCACAUCUUCAAAACCUCCCUUCACAACCUCCCUUUUCACAUCGAUAACCACCACCAAAAUUAUUCAAUAACCUCUAUCUUCCACGUGAAACAACCCUCUGAUAUGCUCUCUUUCCCUCCUUUGUUAAACCACAAACGCAUCUUCAGCCUCCCACGAAACCGC